AAUUAAAAGGAAAAGUCUCACCUCUCUUAGGACUUAGAAAGGCUGGCAGACCCAGUUAACCCCUGUGGCUGCUCAGCUUGCAAGGACUGCACUAGUGGACAAGAAUUCUGGAAAUGAAAAGUGCAGUAUCGCACUAAAGGAAACCUCAUCCUGUACCUCUAUCAUGACUUAAGGGACACAGGCUGAGAUCAGAAGCAGAGAGUUCAAGAGAAGGCUGUUAAACAAAUAAGAAUUGAAGCUUCUGGUAUCAACCAAAAUGGGGAAAAGAAGGAUGGCCAGGCUUUGCGUUCCUCCCGCCAUAAUUUCUGUAUCACCAAGGGGUUUGUGAGCACCAUCAGAAGAAUUAUUAAGAUGCUCAAGAAAAUAAGCCGUUAAGAAAAUGCAUUUAGGUGUCAUAAAAUGAAAAGGACGUGUUUCUCCUCGCCAGAGGAAUUGCAUGGCGGACAUAAACCGUAAUGUUAUGACUGAAACCCUCCAGCUAAGUGUUUCCUGCCCUGAAAAAACAUGAGGACCCGUAAGUAGAAAGGAGCAGAAAUAGAA
Mastomys coucha (southern multimammate mouse) is the source of this 540-nucleotide long non-coding RNA. RefSeq lists it as uncharacterized. The record is from RefSeq and is a predicted model, not a curated record. Lineage: Eukaryota; Metazoa; Chordata; Mammalia; Rodentia; Muridae. The transcript has 3 exons.